Long non-coding RNA from Daktulosphaira vitifoliae (grape phylloxera), 1019 nucleotides. RefSeq lists it as uncharacterized. The transcript has 5 exons. NCBI's taxonomy places the organism in Eukaryota, Metazoa, Arthropoda, Insecta, Hemiptera, Phylloxeridae. The record is from RefSeq and is a predicted model, not a curated record.
UAGUUGUAAAUUAUGCCCUAAAUCAUAAUAGUUCUGUAUUUUAAUUGAAAGCUGUUAGAGCAAAAAACAAGUACCAAAAUUAGACUUCCUAUGGAUAUUUAUCAAUUCCAACCAUAAACGCACAUUGCUUUGGAAGUUAUUCCCAUUUUAAUACAUAGAAAUUAUAAAAAUAAAUUAGAAGAAAUUGUUUUGGCAUUGAUAUAGUUAUGGUCAAUCUCAGGUAAUGAAAUUCUGUACGUCUUGGCGGAAUAAAAUGGAACAUUAAUAUACCAACACACUAAGGCACGGCACGUUUUCAACCUAUUGGUAAAAUCCUACUUAAAGACUAAAAUACAUAAAAAUUUUGAAUAUCAAAACUAUAUUUUUUCGGCUAUAAAGUAACAAUUCAAUAUAAUGAGAAAUUUGAUUUUGAAACUUUAAUAAAAAUUUUAUAGUUUUAUAGUUUAUAGAACACUAUAAUGGUCAUAAAUGAAAAUUUUUCUUUUGUAAACAGAAAUUUUCUAUAAUAGAAAUGAAUCACUUGUCACUAAUAUUAUUUAAAAUUAAAAUAAUAUUAAAAAUAUUAUUAACUUAAAACUAAAAUUAUUUAAUUCAAAAAGCCAUAAAAAAAUUACUACAAAAUUGUGGAUACGUAUUUCUGGAAAAAUAUUAUCAUUACCAUGUACAGUACGCUUAACACAUACUGUCAGUAACUAGUAUAAUAAUUGUUUUGUGGCUAUUUUAGUUAAAUGUUUUUUAGUUUUAAGUUAAUAAUAUUUUUAAUAUAGUUUUAAUUAAAAGAAAAAAUAAUUUUUUUGUGUAUUUCUCACCAAUAAUAUAUUUUACCACGUCAUAUAAAUAAAAAGUUUUAUGUUUUAUUAUUUGAUAAGAUUUAAAGCUCUAAAGAUUUAAAUAUCUAAAAUGAAAUUUCAUAGUUAUGGAAUACUUUAAAUUAUCUUUAAUCACAAAUAAUUUUUAUAAUUUUAAAUGCUAUAUAAAAUUAUCAACUAAUUGUUAUUUAAAUUGUAUUAAAUUUAAAU